GGAAUAUUGGACAAUGGGCGCAAGCCUGAUCCAGCCAUGCCGCGUGUGUGAAGAAGGCCUUCGGGUUGUAAAGCACUUUCAGCGGGGAGGAAGGGUGUUGCGUUAAUAGCACAGCAUUUUGACGUUACCCGCAGAAGAAGCACGGGCUAACUCCGUGCCAGCAGCCGCGGUAAUACGGAGGGUGCAGGCGUUAAUCGGAAUUACUGGGGGUAAAGCGCACGUAGGCGGUAUGUUAAGUUGGAUGUGAAAGCCCCGGGCUCAACCUGGGAAUUGCAUUCAAAGCUGGCAUGCUAGAGUAUGUGAGAGGGGGGUAGAAUUCCAGGUGUAGCGGUGAAAUGCGUAGAGAUUUGCAGGAAUACCAGUGGCGAAGGCGGCCCCCUGGCACAAUACUGACGCUCAGGUGCGAAAGCGUGGGGAGCAAA
This 422-nucleotide ribosomal RNA is filed under the name uncultured bacterium. RNAcentral's name for it is "bacterial SSU rRNA". It matches the Rfam family "Bacterial small subunit ribosomal RNA", at positions 358 to 772 of the family's 1533-position model. The record is from RNAcentral.